Dreissena polymorpha is the source of this 2814-nucleotide long non-coding RNA. RefSeq lists it as uncharacterized. The record is from RefSeq and is a predicted model, not a curated record. NCBI's taxonomy places the organism in Eukaryota, Metazoa, Mollusca, Bivalvia, Myida, Dreissenidae. The transcript has 2 exons.
AUUAUACCCCCACAAACGAAGUUUAGGGGGUAUAUAGGAGUGAACUUGUUGGUCGGUCGGUCUGUCGAUCCGUAUUAAGUGUCCGCUCUCUAAUUCAAGUAGUUUUCAUCCGAUCUUCACCAAACUAAGUCAGAAGUUGAAUCUACAUGAUGUCUAGGCCAAGUUUGAAUAUGGGCCUUGCCGGGUCAAAAACUAGGUCACGGGGUCACUUAGUGCGUUUUAAACAUUCAGCAUGUUGUCCGCUCCCUUAUUCAAGAAGUUUUCAUCCGAUCUUCACCAAACUUGGUCAGAAGUUGUAUCUACAUGAUGUCUAGGCCAAGUUCGAACAUGGGCCGUGCCGGGUCAAAAACUAGGUCACAGGGCCACUUCGUGUGUUUUAAACAUUCAGCAUAUUGUCCGCUCUCUAAUUCAAGUAGUUUUCAUCCGAUCUUCACCAAACAUAGUCAGAAGUUGUAUCUACAUGAUGUCUAGGCCAAGUUCGAACAUGGGCCUUGCCAGGUCAAAAACUAGGUCACAGAGUCACUUAGUGCGUUUUAAACAUUCAGCAUGUUGUCCGCUCUCUAAUUCAAGUAGUUUUCAUCCAAUCUUCACCAAGCUUGGUCAGAAGUUGUAUCUAGAUGAUCUUAAGGCCAAGUUCGAACAUGGGCCUUGCCGGGUCAAAAACUAGGUCACAGGUCACUUAGUGCGUUUUUUAACAUUCAGCAUGGUGUCCUGUCUCUUAUUCAAGUAGUUUUCAUCCGAUCUUCACCAAACUUGGUCAGAAGUUUUAUCUAGAUGAUCUGAAGGCCAAGUUUCAACAUGGGCCAUGCCAGAUCAAAGACUAGGUCACAGGGUCACUUAGUACGUUUUACACAUUGAGCAUGGUGUCCGCUCUCUAUUUCAAGUAGUUUAAAUCUGAUCUUCACUACACUUGGUCAGAAGUUGUAACUAGAUGAUGUGUAGGUCAGGGGGUCACUAAGUGCGUUUUAAACAUCACAAUGUUGUCCGCUCUCUAAUUCAAGUAGUUUUCAUCCAAUCUUCACCAAACUUGGUCAGAAGUUGUAUCUAGAUGAUGUCUUGGUCAAGUUUGAAUAUGGGUCAUGCCGGGUCAAAAACUAGGUCACGGGGUAUCUUAGUGUGUUUUAAACCUCACCAUGUUGUCCGCUCUCUAAUUCAAGUAGUUUUCAUUCAAUCCUCACCCAACUUGGUCACCAGUUUUAUCUAAAUGAUCUCUAGGACAAGUUUGAACAUGGGCCAUCAGGGUCAAAAACUAUGUCAUGGGGUCACUAAGUGCGUUUUUUAACAUUCAUCAUGGUGUCCGCUCUCUAAUUUAAGUAGUUUACACCCAAUCUUCACCAAACUUGGUCAGAAGUUUUAUGGAGAGGAUCUUAAGGCCAAGUUAGAACAUGGGCCGUUCUGGGUCAAAAACUAGGUCAAGGGGUCAAUUAGUGCAUUUUAAAAAUUGAGCAUGAUGUCCGCUGUUUUUUGUGAAGACGUCAUGCAAAAUAUUAUGUGUCAAUGCGGCAUGAGGGGGUAUUCGUCACGUCUGUGACAAAGCUCUAGUUGUAAUUAGCAUCUUCUGGUCUCAAUCAUUAUUUUGAAAGAUUCUUUCAUAGUUUUUAGGAACGUCUUUUAAUGAUAAAUUGAUACUGGAUAUCAUUAUACCCCCACAAACGAAGUUUAGGGGUAUAUAUAGGAGUGAGCUUGUCUGUCGGUCCGUAUUAAGUGUCCGCUCUCAAAUUCAAGUUGUUUUCAUACAAUCUUCACCAUACUUUGUCAGAUGUUGUAUCUAGAUGAUAUCUAGGUCAAGUUCAAAUAUGGGUAAUGCCAGGUCAAAAACUAGGUCACUGGGUCACUUAGUGUGUUUUAAACAUUUAGCAUGGUGUCUGCUUUCUAAUUCAAGUUGUUUUCAUUCGAUCUUCACCACACUUGGUCAAAAGUUGUUUUGGAAUUAUCUUAAGACCAUGUUCGAACAUGGUCCAUGCUGGGUCAAAAACUAGGUCACGGGGUCACUUAGUACGUUUUACACAUUCAGCAUGGUGUCCGCUCUCUAAUUCAAGUAGUUUUCAUUCGAUCUUCACCAAACUUGGUCAGAAGUUGUAUCUAGAUGAUGUGUAGGUCAAGUUUGAACAUGGUCCAUGCUGGGUCAAAAUCUAGCUCACAGGGUCACUUAGUGCAUUUUAAUCAUUGAGCAUGGUGUCCACUUUUUAUGCCCCCGGUAGGGUGGCAUAUAGCAGUUGAACUGUCCGUCAGUCCGUCUGUAAGUUUGUGCGUCCGUUCAAAAACUUAAACAUUGGCCGUAACAUUUGCAAUAUUGAAGAUAGCAACUUGAUACUUGGCAUGCAUGUGUAUCUCAUGAAGCUGCAUAUUUUGAGUUGUGAAAGGUCAAAGUCAAGGUCAUCCUAAUAAGCUUAAAAAGGGAGAUAAUUUCUAAACCUUCCAUAUGAUAUAUUGAAAUUUUAUUUUAAAGCGGCGCAAUAGGGAGCAUUGUAAUUCUGACAAACACAUCUCUUGUUUUUGUUAAGAUAACAUGUAAAAUAUUCUGUGUCAAUGCAGCAUGUGGGGGUAUUCGUCACGUCUGUGACAAAGCUCUAGUUAGUGAAAACAUUAUUAACCAGGUUUUCCGAAGGAAAAAACUGGUUAUUAGAUUGGCGAAUGCGGGCGGGCUGGCUGGCGGGCGGGCGAAACAAGCUUGUCCGGGCCAUAACUAUGUCGUUCAUUGUCAGAUUUUAAAAUCAUUUGGCACAUUUGUUCACCAUCAUUGGACGGUGUGUCGCGCGAAAUAAUUACGUCGAUAUCUCCAAUGUCAAGGUCGCCACGACUAAAAAUAGAUUU